GAUGUAACGAUCCCUUCCCUUCGGGGCAUUCCAGACAGGUGGUGCAUGGUUGUCGUCAGCUCGUGUCGUGAGAUGUUGGGUUAAGUCCCGCAACGAGCGCAACCCUUAUCCUUAGUAGCCAGCAAGUCAAGUUGGGCACUCUGGGGAGACUGCCAGGGAUAACCUGGAGGAAGGUGGGGAUGACGUCAAAUCAUCAUGCCCCUUAUGAUUUGGGCUACACACGUGCUACAAUGGCGUAAACAAAGGGAAGCAAAGGAGCGAUCUGGAGCAAACCCCAAAAAUAACGUCUCAGUUCGGAUUGUAGUCUGCAACUCGACUACAUGAAGCUGGAAUCGCUAGUAAUCGCGGAUCAGAAUGCCGCGGUGAAUACGUUCCCGGGUCUUGUACACACCGCCCGUCACACCAUGGGAGUUGGUAACGCCCGAAGUCAGUGACCCAACCGUAAGGAGGGAGCUGCCGAAGGCGGGACUGAUAACUGGGGUGAAGUCGUAACAAGGUAGCCGUAUCGGAAGGUGCGGCUGGAUCACCUCCUUUCUAAGGAA
RNAcentral lists this ribosomal RNA (542 nucleotides) under Clostridium sp. WB02_MRS01. RNAcentral's name for it is "bacterial SSU rRNA". It matches the Rfam family "Bacterial small subunit ribosomal RNA", at positions 999 to 1533 of the family's 1533-position model. Lineage: Bacteria; Bacillati; Bacillota; Clostridia; Eubacteriales; Clostridiaceae. The record is from RNAcentral.